GUGAAUCAUCGAAUCUUUGAACGCAUAUUGCACUAUCUGGUAUUCCAGAGAGUAUGCCUAUUUGAGGGUCAUUUGAAAUAAUAUAAAUUUCGAGAUUUUCUUGAAAUCAAAAAUGGGUCGGUCCAGCUUUCGUGUGGUGGUCGCCGAAAAUGCAAGACAAGCUCAUGUCUUGGGGUGCGGUAUAGAUUCAGUUACCUCGUGACAUCCCGAGAAAUCUUCGAGCGUG
This 226-nucleotide unclassified non-coding RNA is filed under the name Archaeospora sp. RNAcentral describes it as "partial contains 5.8S ribosomal RNA and internal transcribed spacer 2". The stretch from base 1 to 71 matches the Rfam family "5.8S ribosomal RNA", at positions 84 to 154 of the family's 154-position model. Lineage: Eukaryota; Fungi; Glomeromycota; Glomeromycetes; Archaeosporales; Archaeosporaceae. The record is from RNAcentral.